AGGGUAGAUAAGGAACCACACGAGAGAAUCCUAACAUCUCACAGUACACAUGUUAAGCCUGCAUGGUUUAAACUCAUCAUAAAACGCAACACAAAUGAAUGCAAGAUUAAAAUUUGGCCAAUUUUGCAUCAACUUUAAAAUGUUUUUGCGUCAACACUGAUGUUUUGAUUGCUUUGUCGAAUGUAAAACUAGCUUAAUUAAUACAUAUCUGUAGUUAUUUCACAGAUGACCAUGCAUCUUAUAUAAAAAUGUAUCUUACUAUAAAACGUGACAAAAUGUUGACCUUUAACGUGACAAAAUGUUGACCUUUAUAAUAAGACAUUACAACCAAUUCCUACUUAUUACAAAAAGGGAAUCUGAAGGUUAGAGAACAAUAAAUAAAACACUACCAAGUAAGUAAUUACUUUAUUAAUGUUAGUAUUGGCUGCAUGUAAAAAUUAGUAAUUAAUUAAUUCAAAAAUAAACAUAACACUGGUAGAUAUAUAUAAUACAUAAAUACUUUAAAAUAAUAAAGCCUUAUAUAUAAAGGCAAGGAUUUGACUGUGUAUAAGCCAAUAAUGAAGGUUGCUGUUCUUUUUGUUAUUAGCUGCUUCAUUGCUGCUGCUUAUAGCAACAGCAUAAGUAUCAGAGGAAUUCAGGAAGGGAAAAUGGUUGCUGAUGGCACUGAAAAAGUAUGUAGAUGUACAAAAGAUGAAUGUACAUUAAGCUCUGGAAUCUAUAAAUGCUUUGGAGAAGAUGUAUGUCGCUGUAAUUCUGGAACUACUGACUACUGUGAAUGCACCGAGAGAUACUGUGCAGAAAUUGGAGACACCCUGUCCUGUGUAUCAAAUAAAGGAGCUUGUAAAUGCACUGCAUAACAAGCCACUGGGAAGCAACUGAAAAUGGACACUAAUACAUGUACAUGUACAUUAUUACUAAUAUAUUUCAAAUCUUGGCUAUACAUUUCAGUAAAUGGUAGUGUAGUCCAAUGUCAAUAAUAAA
This is a long non-coding RNA of Amphimedon queenslandica, 981 nucleotides long. RefSeq lists it as uncharacterized. The transcript has 2 exons. NCBI's taxonomy places the organism in Eukaryota, Metazoa, Porifera, Demospongiae, Haplosclerida, Niphatidae. The record is from RefSeq and is a predicted model, not a curated record.